GAAACCGUGUACGUACAAGCAGUGGGAGCACGCUUAGGCGUGUGACUGCGUACCUUUUGUAUAAUGGGUCAGCGACUUAUAUUCUGUAGCAAGGUUAACCGAAUAGGGGAGCCGAAGGGAAACCGAGUCUUAACUGGGCGUUAAGUUGCAGGGUAUAGACCCGAAACCCGGUGAUCUAGCCAUGGGCAGGUUGAAGGUUGGGUAACACUAACUGGAGGACCGAACCGACUAAUGUUGAAAAAUUAGCGGAUGACUUGUGGCUGGGGGUGAAAGGCCAAUCAAACCGGGAGAUAGCUGGUUCUCCCCGAAAGCUAUUUAGGUAGCGCCUCGUGAAUUCAUCUCCGGGGGUAGAGCACUGUUUCGGCAAGGGGGUCAUCCCGACUUACCAACCCGAUGCAAACUGCGAAUACCGGAGAAUGUUAUCACGGGAGACACACGGCGGGUGCUAACGUCCGUCGUGAAGAGGGAAACAACCCAGACCGCCAGCUAAGGUCCCAAAGUCAUGGUUAAGUGGGAAACGAUGUGGGAAGGCCCAGACAGCCAGGAUGUUGGCUUAGAAGCAGCCAUCAUUUAAAGAAAGCGUAAUAGCUCACUGGUCGAGUCGGCCUGCGCGGAAGAUGUAACGGGGCUAAACCAUGCACCGAAGCUGCGGCAGCGACACUAUGUGUUGUUGGGUAGGGGAGCGUUCUGUAAGCCUGUGAAGGUGUACUGUGAGGUAUGCUGGAGGUAUCAGAAGUGCGAAUGCUGACAUAAGUAACGAUAAAGCGGGUGAAAAGCCCGCUCGCCGGAAGACCAAGGGUUCCUGUCCAACGUUAAUCGGGGCAGGGUGAGUCGACCCCUAAGGCGAGGCCGAAAGGCGUAGUCGAUGGGAAACAGGUUAAUAUUCCUGUACUUGGUGUUACUGCGAAGGGGGGACGGAGAAGGCUAUGUUGGCCGGGCGACGGUUGUCCCGGUUUAAGCGUGUAGGCUGGUUUUCCAGGCAAAUCCGGAAAAUCAAGGCUGAGGCGUGAUGACGAGGCACUACGGUGCUGAAGCAACAAAUGCCCUGCUUCCAGGAAAAGCCUCUAAGCAUCAGGUAACAUCAAAUCGUACCCCAAACCGACACAGGUGGUCAGGUAGAGAAU
This 1124-nucleotide ribosomal RNA is filed under the name Escherichia coli. RNAcentral describes it as "partial 23S ribosomal RNA". It matches the Rfam family "Bacterial large subunit ribosomal RNA", at positions 552 to 1679 of the family's 2925-position model. Lineage: Bacteria; Pseudomonadati; Pseudomonadota; Gammaproteobacteria; Enterobacterales; Enterobacteriaceae. The record is from RNAcentral.